Molecule: long non-coding RNA, 10183 nt
Organism: Pan troglodytes (chimpanzee)
Lineage: Eukaryota; Metazoa; Chordata; Mammalia; Primates; Hominidae
Exons: 3
Source: RefSeq, a predicted model, not a curated record
AAUUAGCUGGGCAUGGUGACAUGUGCCCAUAGUCCCAGUUACUCAGGAGGCUGAGGCAGGAGGAUUGCUUCAGCCUGGAAGAUCGAGACUGCAAUGAGCCAUGAUUGCACCACUGCACUCCAGCCCAGGUGACAGAGCCAGACUCUGUCUCAAUCAAUCAAUAAGUGUGGCACAUGCCCGUCCUGUCUCUCUUGCUUCCACUCUCGCUAUGUGAUGUGACUGCUACCACGUCACCUUCCACUGAGAAAUAAAAGCUCCCUGAGGCCUCCCCAGAAGCCAAGCAGAUGCCAGUGCCAUGCCUAUACAGCCUGCAGAACCGUGAGCCAAUUAAGCCUCUUUUCUGUAUAAAUCACCCAGUCUUAGGUAUGUCCUUAUAGCAACACAAGAACAGCCUAACACAAGCACAAAACAAAGUCCUGGAGAUGCAGAGAUAAGUACAACAGGGUUCUGUCCUCACAGCUCACUCGUGCAAGGAGUCCUAGCAAUAAGUGUGGUGGAUAAUUUUCAAGUUUGGUUUGGGAUUAUCUCACCUUGUUCGAACCACAAAAGAUGAAGCAAUUUCAGAUUGUAAGUUGUUAUGGUCAUGCUGAUGGUCAGGGUGCAAAUAGAAAAGUUCAAGCCAUUCCAAGGACUGUGCUGGUCAGCGCAAGAUAUACAGAGAUACACUGAGGCCUGGCAUGGAUAAAUAAAGAUUGUAUGCCUAUGUAAAAAUGUAUGGGGUCAUAAGAGACAAGCCAUCUUUCCCCAUCUGCUGUAACAGCCUUAGGGAAAAAAGUCCAGUGGAAUCCUGUACUGGUCCGUUUCCACACUGCUGAUAAAGACAUACCCAAGACUGGGUAAUUUACACAGAAAAAGAGGUUUAAUGGACUCACAGUUCCACGUGGCUGGGGAGGCCUCACAAUCAUGGCAGAAGGCAAAAGCCACGUCUUACAUGGUGGCAGAUAAGAGAGAAUCAAAAUCAAGCAAAAGGGGAAACCCCUUAUAAAAUCAUAAGAUCUGGUCCAGCAUGGUGGCUCAUGCCUGUAAUCCCAGCACUUUGAGAUGCCGAAGUGGGUGGAUCACCUGAGGUCAGGAGUUGGAGACCAGCCUGGGCAACAUGAAGAAACCCCAUCUCUACUAAAAAUACAAAAAAUUAGCUGGGCAUGCUGGCAGGCACCUGUAAUCCCAGCUAUUGGGAGACUGAGGCAGGAGAAUUGCUUGAACCUGGGAGGCGGAGGUUGCAGUGAGCCAAGAUAGUGUCACUGCAGUCCAGCCUGAGUGACAGAGUGAGAAUGUCUCAAAAAAAAAAAAAAUUCAUCAGAUUUCUUGAGAUUUAUUCACUACCAUGAGAACAGUAUGGAGGAAACUGCCUUCAUGAUUUAAUUAUCUCCCACCUGAGGAAUUAUGGGAGCUACAAUUCAAGAUGAAAUUUGGGUGGGGACACAGCCAAACCAUAUCAGAUUCUUAAGGACUUGGGCAGGGAGAGGAGGUCUAUGAGAGAGCUGAGCACCAACUCAGCUGCCACAGCUGACACCUUAUUCAGAUAUCUUGAAGUUGACCUUGACCCUUCUGGGUCUUUUCAUAAGAACAAAAGAGCUACUGAGAGUGCAGCCACCAGGCCAGCCAAGUCCUGGCUUAAGAAAGUUAUCAGCAUUAUUGCAUCCUUCUCCCUCCAAAUCUUUCCUACAGAGAAAUGCCUGGCCUUUGAGAAUCUUCUACGGGGGGACCAGGGGUAUGAAGUUAGUAUUGAUCAAUGUUCUAAUCUGCAGUUUUUCUCUUUUCUUUUUGUUCAUGUGCUCCAUCAGUAGAUGUUUUCUUUCUUUCUUUUUUUUUUUUUUUUAAGCCCGGGAUUAAAGAGUGCUUCAUUUGAUUCAGCCACUUGGGUAUAUGAGGGAGAACUGAAACUGAAUGGAAAUUAUUCACAUGAGCCCCAGGAGCCACCCGAAUGUGUGGCAACUCAGGAAUACCAUAAUGGAGGUGUGCAGAAAGUGCUCUGUGACAGCUCACCCUGCCCUGGUUAUUUAAAAAGAAAGUGAGGUGUGAUUUGAGCUAUCAGUACAACAGGCAAAAGGACUUGUAAGUAUCAUGCUCUUUCUCUUUGAAGAGCUGGAGAAAUCAGAGGCUCUGAACCUCAUGGAAGAACGCACAGGCAAACCAGGCAAAAGCCGGAGUUUCAACUGCAGUCAGCCGGCCUUCACUUUAUCUUAUGCUGCCUUUGCCCUCCAGAGAGGUUUUGUUCCCAAAAAAUCUCCGAAAGGUGCCCAGCUAUGACGUCCAGCACUUCAUUUGUUGAUUCAAAGACCUGGGUUAAAAUACCAGCUCUGCCAUUUCAUUCAAGAUUCCCCUGAAUUCACAUUUAUUGGACACUAUGGUAUGUCGAAACUGUGCUCUGAUGAGGGAAUGAAAAGCUGAAUCAGGUGUGACUACUGCUUUCAAGGUGCUGCAGACUUUAUUGUGUUUCCCCAAGUUCAUAUGUUGAAGCCAUAACCUCCAGUGUGGCUGCAUUGGCAGAUAGGGCCUCUAAGUGGGUAGUGGAGGUUACAUGUGUCAUCGGGGUGUGGCCCUGAACCAAUAGGAUUAGUGUUCUUAUAAGAAGAGAUGCCAGAAAGAAAACAAAAAGAAAAAGAAAAGAAGAAAAGACAGGCCAGGUGCAGUGGCUCUCACCUAUAAUCCCAGCACUUUGAGAAACUGAGGCAGGAGGAUUGUUCAAACCCAGGAGUUUGAGACCAGCCUGGGCAAUAUAGUAAGACCCCAUCUCUACAAAAACUUUUUAAGAAAGAAAGAAACUGGCUGGGCAUGGUGGCUCAUGCCUGUAAUCCCAGCACUUUGGGAGGCCAAGGAGGGCAGAUCACAACGUCAGGAGAUUGAGACCAUCCUGGCUAACACAGUGAAACCCCGUCUUUACUAAAAAUACAAAAACAAAAUUAGCCAAGCGUGGUGGUGCGUGCCUGUAGUCCCAGCUACUCGGGAGGCUAAGGUGGGAGAAUGGCGUGAACCUGGGAGGUGGAGCUUGCAGUGAGCUGAGAUGGUGCCACUGCACUCCACCCUGGGUGACAGAGCAAGACUCUGUCAAAAAAAAAAAAAGAAAGAGAGAGAAAGAAAGAAGAAAGAGAGAGAGAAAGAGAAAGAAAAAGAAAGAGAGAAAGAGAAAGAGAAAGAAGAAAGAAAGAAGAAAGAGAAAGAAAGAAAGAAAGAAAGAAAAAAGAAAAACAAGGAAAGAAAGACAAAGAAAGAAAGAAAGAAAGAAAAAAGAAAAACAAGGAAAGAAAGACAAAGAAAGAAAGACAAAAGACACCAAAGCUAAUUAUUUCUCUCCAAGAACACAUACAAAGGAAAGGUCUUGCAAGGUCAUAGCGAGAAGGUGGCAGUCUGCAAGUCAGGAAGAGAGCCCUCAUCAGAAACUGAAUCCCUGCCUACAGAAUGUGAGAUAUAAAUGUCUAUUGUUUAAGCUCCCUAUCUGUGGUACCUCAUCAUGGCAGUCUAAGCUGACUAAGACACAUGAAGAUCAGAGCUUAGAAGUAGGAACAGGCGAGUUGGGUGGGGCAGGCUGUUUUGUUUGCAGGACGUGUCUCAGCUCACAUCGGGUUGGUAGGUCUUCCUCUGCAGCUGUUGUGACCAUGAAGCAAGCAGGCCCUCAGGAACCUGGCCUUACUGCCAGGCCUCACAGGGGGAGUCGAGGGACAGGAUGGCCACUCUGUGUCCAGAACAUGGGUAACAACUAGUGAACAGGUCGAUGGGAGACUAGGGUGACAAGUGACUGGGAAGUCUGAAACUACUGAAGCCUGUGUGGGUCUACUGAAGGGAUUUGACAGGAAGACGAUGUGGUCCCAGCCAUGGAGAGGCCAGCCUGGGCUGCUCUGUGGUCCCCGAGACCCUGGCCUGAGGGUGCACCAGCCCCAGCAUCAAUCAGAUCUCAUGGUGUUUCUAGGAUUCAAGGCCCUCACGGAGCCCCUGAAAGCAAGGCUCACUUUCCUAAGCUCUUCAAAGCUCAAGGAGCCAACGGCAGACCUGACACAUCCUGCAAUGCUCUCAGCAUGGGCCUGCUUAGCCUGCUCCCUCCUCAGCCAGUUUGCCCCAGAAACUAAAAAUAAAAUUGACAACAGAGGAGCAUUAAACAGCAAAAUCUAGCUGAGGGAGGAGCAGAGGCUUUGAACAAGGACAACUGGCACACACCGUGGUCACCUCUGGUUGUCCCGUCCUCCCUGGGCGUUGGGAGUUUGUGGAUGGAUAUUCACUGGAGCGCCUGCUCUGCCAAGAGAUAACUCAGCUUUCCUCUAAACCUCUGUGGUUUUAUCUCUUUUGUUUGUUUACUAUUUCUUCCUCCUCCCCUACGUGAGAAACAUCUCCCUGUAUCUCCAGUUCAAAUUCCCCAAAGCGAGAAUCUAAUUUGGUCUUCAGACCCUCUUUGAAGGGCUGCUGUCAUACAGGGCCAUUGGAUGGUCCUGCCAGCCUGCGAGCUGGCUGUCCUGGCUCCCAGGUAGUGACCUGUGGGCAGAGCCCUUUUCCUGCAAGUGGGUGGUGAGAAUCCAGGCACACUGGGGCAAGCCUGCCCUGCCUGUAUGGGGCAGAAUGUACUCAGCUGCUCGCAAGAGAAUAGCCGCAUACAAGCCGUCUCUAUUGCUGUGAGCUCAUUUUCCAUAGCAAGAAGCCUGCAGGUGGUUGGUCCUAGAACUCAGUGUCUCUGUGACCCCACAGAGGAUAUUUUUCCAUCUGCCAAGUGGCUGGACGGUAGUUGCAGCAGUUCAAUGAAUACAUCAAAUCCAGAGAUUUCCUUGACGCUCCCCUACCCCCACCCUCAGGAGAUGUGUUGAUGUCUCUUUGACAAAAGAGAGCCACAGUCCCACCUCUAGCUGCAAGAGAAGCUGGUGGAGUGAGAAGCUGGUGUAUACAAUGUCUACAGGGGUAAGUGGAUUCUAAUGACAAGGGAGAUGAUGGAACAUUGUGUAGGCAAACAUCUGCCCUACGAAGUAAACAGUUAACUAUAGCGUGGUACUGCAAGCGCUAUAAUAAUUUGCUAAGACACUGAUAUGGUUUGGCUAUGUCCCCAACCAAAUCUCACCUUGAAGUGUAAUAAUCCCCAUGUGUCAAGGGCAGGGCCAGGUGGAGAUAAUUGAAUCAUAGGGGGCCGUUUCCCCAUACUGUUCUCAUGGUAGUGAAUAACUCUCACGAGAUCUGAUGCUUUUAUAAAGGGGAGUUCCCCUGCCCAAGCUCUCUUGCCUGCCUUCAUGUAAGACGUGACUUUGCUCCUCACUCGCCUUCAGCCAUGAACGUGAGGCCUCCCCAGCCAUGUGGAUGUGAGUUCAUUAAACCUUUUUCCUUUGUAAAUUAUGCAGUCUCGGGUAUGUCUUUAUUAACAGGGUGAGAACAGACUGAUACAGACACUCUUUGGGAUAAGUCACAUAACCUCUUCGAGGCUCAGAUUCCUAAAAUGAAAAAUGAAAAUGAUAGUACUUACAUCACAGAGGUGUUGUACAGAUUAAUAUGAAAUAAUGUAUAAGAAAGUCUCUAUUUCAAUACUUAAUAGGUAAUAAACGCACCUUGGCUCCUUCCUCCCCAUCAACUACAGGGUAAAUGAGCAAUAAAUACUUGCUAACCAAAUAAACAUUGCUUAUCUGGAACAUUAUCCUCUUGAAUUUUGUUGGCGAUUUGUAAAAAGAAAGAAAAUCAAGUCAGCAUGCAAAGUAAAAGUAAACAUGAAAAAUUCAAAGGCUGGCAUGCUAGGAAUUAAUUUAAAAUGCAAUCAUGCUUCAUUGUAUUUCAAAGAAAGCUAAAUAACUACGUUGAAGCCUCUAACACAUUUUCCCUCGAUAGACUGAUUAUCCAUUGUUUCCCUCCCUCAGAUAGAACCCUUGGAAUAAUUUGCCAUUUCUUCCUGCAACUGGCUCAGCUACACUCUUGAUUUUCGGUUUGGUUUUGAUUUAGUUUUUUUCCUCCACUGGAAAGUCCCCAGGAUAAUCUGGAUUUAUUUCUCAUCUGAAAUAAAACACAUUAACUGGCAGUAUUCCCUUCAUACUCCCUUCCUUACGAAUGGUUCAAAACACUGUCAUUAAAAUCCAUUGCUCUCACCUGUAUCUUUGACAACAUAAUCAAUGGAUGCUUCCGCGGUAGAGUCAAUGUAGUCACAUUUGAUUUCGAGACUCUUUAUCAAAUUAGCCCUGAUUAUAUCACCUCCCAGUUCCAUUUAGGGAUCCUUUCCCUGCCAAUUAUGCAAAAAGACAUUUGGUUUCCUUCUUUCUCCUACAACUUGUCAUCAGAGGCGCCUGCGACUCUAUCCAAGAUCCAAGAAUUCUUCCUUUAAUUCAGAAUUCAUCUCACAGCCCACUUCCUCCAGAAAACUCGCACCAGCAAUGGUGUGAAGUCCUAUCUGUCCCACAAAACAAGACCAUCUGAACACUUGGCCUUCGAUAGUCUGAAAAACCAAGAGACAGCGAUAAACCUUUUUCUCUGGAAUGUAAACUCUUUCAUGCUUGGUGUGAUGCAAGAGUGUAGUAAUUUUACACAUCUACCAUAGCCGGUACUAAAAAUUCACUCCAGUCAUAAAUCUUCAAUCUGCCACCCAGUGCCAAGCCCACACCCACCUUCAGUUCUGGAGUUUCCAAUGGCUUAUGGGACCUCCCCAUACUCUAGGGCUUCUGGUUCCUCCAGAGUCAAGAUGGUUAGGGAAGAGGGAUUCAUGAAAAUGAUAUAACUGUUUUGUCUCUCUCUCUCUCUCUUUUUUUUUUUUUUAAACAAGCUCUGACUCUUUCAUCUAGGCUGGAGUGUAGUGACACAUGGCUCACUGCAGCCUUAACCUCCUGGGCUGAAGCAAUCCUCCUGCCUCAGCCUCCUGAGUAGCUGAAACUAUAGCUGCAUGCCACCAUGCCCAACUAAUAUUUUAAUUUUUUUUUGUAGAGCCAGAGUUUUGCCAUGUUGCCCAGGCUGGUCUUGAACUCCUGGGCGCGAACAAUCCACCUACCUCAGCCUCCUAAAGUGCUGGGAUUACAGGCAUGAGCUGCCAUACCCAGCCACUUUUUUUUUUAUUUAGAGACAGAGCCUUGCUCUGUCACCCCUCAUCCCCCAGGCUGGAGUGCAGUGGCAUGAUCAUGGUUCACUGCAGCCUUCAACUCCUGGCCUCAAGAGAUCCUUCUGCCUUAGCCUCCCAAGUAGCUGGAACUACAGGCACAUGCCACCAUACCAAUUUUUUUUAUUUUUUGUAGAGACAUUGUCUUGCUAUGUUGCCCUGGCUGGUCUUGAACUCCUAGCCUCCCGAAGUGCUAGGAUUAUAGGCAUGAGCUGCUGCACCUGACCAGUAUAACUUGUUUUACUGAGUCAGUGCAGAUGUAAUCUUCGCUGUUAUCCAUGCCUUGCUGUAUGGCAGGCAUCCAAAUAUUGGUUCUCUGAUGGAGCUUUUGCACAAGUCUUUGGAUGGCCCAAAAGUUCCCUGGCUGAAUGAUGUGCUCUGACUUGUAAUCUUUUCUGCAAGUCCCUACACCUGGUCAUAGACUCUACGCUUCUUCCUACUGGACUUCCUGCUGCCUUCUUGAGGAGGAUACCAGCAAGACAACUCAAGCCCAGCCACCUUUCCUGGUCUCUGCUUGCCCCUUGGGACACUCACACAACUCUGAUUGCUCCAGCAAGCCUUUCAUUCCAAAAUUACCCAGGCAAGAAGCAAGGACCAGUCUCUAUUUGCUCAUCUAUUCCCAGGCUUCUGAAGAAAUAGAUCUGGCUUUCUCAAGAACUCUUUCACUGAGUUCUGCAACAACAUGGGAGCUCAUGUGGACCCAUGAGUUUCUACAUCUUAGCAAGUGUCUAGAUCAGGACUAAGAUGUCAGUCCUUUCCCUUCUCGCCAGCAUCUUGAGUCUCUAAGGUUCUCUUGAAGCUCCACACAUGUGGCUUCAAGGGAAGGAAAGGAGUAGCUCUCACCUUGAACCUGAGUGAUUUUCUAAUGCCUGGACUUCUAUUAUUGUAAGAUGGGGAGAAGGAGAGGGGACUAUUGGUCAAUGAACUGCUCCUGCCAGCUCAUAGGUGGUCCUUUAAAUAUGGGGAUUUAGCACCUCUUAUUCUCAGCUUUAGGGCUGCAGCCUCAUUUUGGAGACAACAUGAAAUGUCCCAUUGACAUUCUGUUAAACAAUGUUGUAAUGACUGUCCUUGCACGUCUAUCUUUGUGAGCCUUUGAGAGUAUGGCCAAAGGGUGAAUUACUCAUAGAUGUUGCUAAAUUGUUUUCCAGGAAGGUUGCACCAGUUUGCACUUCCAGAACACUGCAGGAGCACAUCCAUUUCCCGACAUUCUCCCCAAGCCCAGCUAGACAUUCCUCAACCUCAAACAUGGGACAGAGCUCUGGUUGGAAAGACCAACUCACUCGGUCAAAAGGCCAGAUGAAUGCACCAUUCUAGACACUUAAAAGUGUCAAAUACCAAGCUUUUCUGGUGACAGGGUGGAGGAAGGAGGGAGGAUGGAAGAGAGAAGACAAGGAAAGGGAAAGGGAGGGAAGAGAAGAAUUAUUUUCAGAAUCUAUUGCCGGCUAUUGUACUUUAUCUCGAAUUGUCUCAUGGGGGCCAGGCCCGGUGGCUCACACCUGUAAUCCCAGCACUUUGGGAGGCUGAGGUAGGCGGAUCAGUUGAGGUCAGGAGUUCAAGAACAGCCUGGCCAAUAUGAUGAAACCCCAUCUCUACUAAAAAUACAAAAGCUGACAUGGUGGUGGGCGCCUGUAAUCCCGGCUGCUGGGGAGGCUGAGACAGAAGAAUCACUUGAACCCGGGAGGCAGAGGCUGUAGUGAGCCGAGAUCAUGCCACUGCACUCUAGUCUGGGGGACAGAACGAGACUACAUCUCAAAAAAAAAAAGAAAAGAAAAUUGCUUUGAAUUGUCUUGUGGCCAGGAUGAGACGGAGGCAGGAGGUGAAGGUUUGUGCAGUUGGGCUCGUAGAAGUGACCUCGUGCCGUGCUGUUAACUGUGGUGAAACUGAGCCUCCUAAUCUUUUUUUUUUUUUUUUUUUUUUGACACAGAGUCUUGCUCUGCCACCCAGGCUGGAGUGCAGUGGUGCGAUCUCGGCUCACUGCAAGCUCUCCCUCCUGGGUUCACGCCAUCCUCCUGCCUCAGCCUCCCAAAUAGCUGGGACUACAGAUGCACGCCACCACGCCCGGCUAAUUUUUUGUAUUUUUUUAGUAGAGAUGGGGUUUCACCGUGUUAGCCAGGAUGGUCUCGAUUUCCUGACCUUGUGAUCCUCCUGCCUCGGCCUCCCAAAGUGCUGGGAUUACAGGCAAGAGCCACUGCGCCCAGCCAAGCCUCCUAAUCUUACCUCCAGUGAUGCUACUUAGCAGCAGAGGUGUUGCUGACACACCGGCAAGCAGCAGAACGUUGUCUCUACACAACACUCUUAUCCUACACAACACUGUUGUCCACCCAGAGAAAGGCCCUCUUUUUUCUUUUUUUUUCAGUUGAGAGAGAGUCUCUCUCACCGAGGCUGGAGUGCAGUGGUGUGAUCUCUGCUCACAGCAACCUCCGCCUCCCAGGUUCAAGCGAUUCUCCUGCCUCAGCCUCCCAAGUAGCUGGGAUUACAGGCACCUGCCACCACACCCGGCUAAUUUUUGUAUUUUCAGUGGAGACGGGGUUUCACCAUGUUGGCGAGGCUGCUCUCGAACUCCUGACCUCAGGUGAUCUGCCCGCCUCGGCUUCCCAAAGUGCUGGGAUUACAGGCGUGAGCCACUGUGCCCAGCUGAAAGGCCCUCUUUGAACAGAAUAUGUGUCCAGAAUUAGUCAACGUGGGAUCUCUGACAUCCUCCAAGACCCCCAGGGCAUUGCCCUGACUCCAUAACUGCUCAUUCACAGUGUCGUGUGUCCUCAUCCGCUGACCAGGUUCCAGUUCUCCAGAAGCACUUCUUCUCCAAACCAGCAGCAGCAGUAUCUGUGAGGGAAAUUUGUGUCUAUCUUUUAUUUUUCUUUCUGUUUUUUUCCCCCUUUUAAAACUCAAGUCACUAAAAGGGACUGUGACAACUCAAUAUAUUUGAACUUCUCUAGAUAGUCAGACUAAACACUAUGAAAUUCACUGUGUAUUCAAGAUUAAGAGCCACUGGACUUGGGGGACACUUUUUCUGUCACUGCCUUUGUUAGCCAAUGCCACUCCCGUAGAUCCACAGGCCCCAGAUAACAAACGUGGGGGCUGCAGACAGGACGUGGGGCUGGUGGAGACAGCGAGGUGCUGGCAGUCAGGAUCCCAGGGUCUGGA